This 206-nucleotide ribosomal RNA is filed under the name uncultured bacterium. RNAcentral describes it as "partial 16S ribosomal RNA". It matches the Rfam family "Bacterial small subunit ribosomal RNA", at positions 1289 to 1500 of the family's 1533-position model. The record is from RNAcentral.
CAGUUCGGAUUGGAGUCUGCAACCCGACUCCAUGAAGCUGGAUUCGCUAGUAAUCGCGCAUCAGCCACGGCGCGGUGAAUACGUUCCCGGGCCUUGUACACACCGCCCGUCAAGCCAUGGAAGCCGGGGGGUGCCUGAAGUGCGCUGCCGCAAGGACGCGUCCUAGGGUAAAACCGGUGACUGGGGCUAAGUCGUAACAAGGUAUC